AACGCGUAUGCAACCUACCUUUAACAGGGGGAUAACACUGAGAAAUUGGUACUAAUACCCCAUAAUAUCAUAGAAGGCAUCUUUUAUGGUUGAAAAUUCCGAUGGUUAGAGAUGGGCAUGCGUUGUAUUAGCUAGUUGGUGGGGUAACGGCUCACCAAGGCGACGAUACAUAGGGGGACUGAGAGGUUAACCCCCCACACUGGUACUGAGACACGGACCAGACUCCUACGGGAGGCAGCAGUGAGGAAUAUUGGUCAAUGGACGCAAGUCUGAACCAGCCAUGCCGCGUGCAGGAUGACGGCUCUAUGAGUUGUAAACUGCUUUUGUACGAGGGUAAACGCAGAUACGUGUAUCUGUCUGAAAGUAUCGUACGAAUAAGGAUCGGCUAACUCCGUGCCAGCAGCCGCGGUAAUACGGAGGAUUCAAGCGUUAUCCGGAUUUAUUGGGUUUAAAGGGUGCGUAGGCGGUUUGAUAAGUUAGAGGUGAAAUUUCGGGGCUCAACCCUGAACGUGCCUCUAAUACUGUUGAGCUAGAGAGUAGUUGCGGUAGGCGGAAUGUAUGGUGUAGCGGUGAAAUGCUUAGAGAUCAUACAGAACACCGAUUGCGAAGGCAGCUUACCAAACUAUAUCUGACGUUGAGGCACGAAAGCGUGGGGAGCAAACAGGAUUAGAUACCCUGGUAGUCCACGCAGUAAACGAUGAUAACUCGUUGUCGGCGAUACACAGUCGGUGACUAAGCGAAAGCGAUAAGUUAUCCACCUGGGGAGUA
RNAcentral lists this ribosomal RNA (768 nucleotides) under uncultured bacterium. RNAcentral describes it as "bacterial SSU rRNA". It matches the Rfam family "Bacterial small subunit ribosomal RNA", at positions 112 to 882 of the family's 1533-position model. The record is from RNAcentral.